RNAcentral lists this long non-coding RNA (3097 nucleotides) under Marmota monax (woodchuck). Lineage: Eukaryota; Metazoa; Chordata; Mammalia; Rodentia; Sciuridae. The record is from RNAcentral.
GCCCGCCCUCGCUCUCCAUUGACAAACUAUGCAGACACAGAUCAAGUGUUAGCUCCAUUGUACAGAUGCGAAAACCGGCACCGGGGCAGGCUGCACAUUUAAAGGAAAUCUCGUAACAGGAUCCCUCUUUUCUGCUCUAGGUUUGAUUUGGCCAGUUGACCUCUAAAUAUGAGCCGCUGGCAGCCUUAUCUCCAUCUCCUUAAUGGUUGAGGCAGGGAGUAAACUACGAUUAAAAAAUUCUUGCCCAUAGAGGUGGUGCACCUGUGUGGCUCAGGAGGCUGAGGCAGGAGGAUCACAAAUUCAGGGCCAGUCUUAGCAACAUAGCAAGACCCUGUCUCAAAAAUAAAAAUAAAUAAACGGGACUGAGGAUGUAGCGCAGUAGUAAAGCACCUCUGGGUACAAUCCCCAGCAAACAAAAUAAAUAAAUAUAAAAAAUUAAAAAUCCUCCUUAACCCAGCAAGCUCAGCUACUCUGGGGAUGAGGCAGGGUUGGUAGAGCCCAAAAGUUCAGAGCAGCCUGGGCAACAUAGUAAGACACCUUAUCAAGGAAAAAAGGAAAAUCCCCUUUCCUGUUGAGUUGUUCAUAGCCAUUGUCCCAAUAAUAUUAAUUGGACAAUAUGGAGGGUGUCUUGGAGACCUUUGUCACAAGUGAGAUAUUCUGGGAGAGGCAGGUAUUGCUACAAAAAUUGAUUAUCCUGUCUGAGGGAAAAAACAAGAUCAACAAAUCAAUGCCCAUUUUUUAACUUCCCAGGCUAUGAAACCAGUUGUUUUAUUGCUGGUUGGUUAGAGUGCCCCCCUGUGUCUCCUUAAUAAAAUAUCAUGUAAGAAAUUCCAAAGGACAAUGAAAUUUUAAUAGUAGCAUUCAAAUGUAUAUCAUCAACUCCUGUUCUCCAUACUUCCCAGAAAACCCACAAGGAGAUCUAGGAGCCUUCUACAUGAAGGAAUUUUCAACUGAGGAGUCUUGGUGGAAACUUCAGUUGUGUUUUAGCCAAAAUUGCAAGGUCAGGACUACCAUGGUAAGAACUCUAGUCACUUCCUUUUGGCAACCCAUCUUCUAAAAGGCUCUUCCUAUGUUAUGGCUGUGAAUCUCCCUUGUAUGGAAAGAGCCCACUUUGCACUACAGAAGCUAAAAACCAAACCCUCACCUCCCCAACCUCCCUUACAGCUGGUUCCCAAUUUAAACUCAGGCAAUAGCGGGCAGCCAGGUCUGCUCCUCUGGCUUGAUAGUUUGGGGGCACUGCUCUCUGCUUCAGUGAGUCCUCCAAGCCUGGGUCUUCUGUCCUGCAGAGACUCCAAAUGCCACCUAAUAUUUUAUUAAUGAGUUCAUCUUUAGCAUUAACUCUCCAGAAACCACUUGUAUUGCUUACAACUAAAUAAAUAAAUAAAUAAAUAAAUAAUAAAAAUUAAAAACUGACUUAAUCAUCAGAUGUUUAUUGAGCAGCCAUCCAGAAGAAACACUGGAUUUGAAUGCCCCAAGGCAUUUGUUAAUCUCAUGGGCUCUAAACCUUGAAAGCCAUCUUUAUGUCAUUCUCUAAUGUUUAUCUCCAGCUUAAACCCCUCUCCCUAAACUGCAGACGUGAUAAUGAUCUUAGUUACCAAAAAGGAUCUCAAACAUGCUACAUUCUAAACUGAGUCCCCAACUUGUCCCUCCAAAGCUACUCCUGCCUCAAUCUUCCCAAUCUUAAUAAGUGGCAAAUUAAUCCUCCUAGACAUUCCAGCCAACAACUGACAUCAGAUUUUACUUCUCCCAUUUUUUUCUUAUCCCAAAUCCAAAAUCCAACAAAUCCCAGUGGUUCCUCCUUCAAGACUAGUCCAGAAUCUGAACACCUCCACAGCGUCCACCCCAGUCCAACCCCAGCAUAUGUCACCUGAUAUAAACCAGCUGACAUACCCUCCAGUGUCACCUCAUCUCAUUCAUAGUCCCUGACUCAGCAAAACCUCCGCUUCACCUCUCUGACAUGAAUGCACCCUACUCUCCCCCAACUCAGAUCCCUCCUACACCCCACAUGUUCCCACUGCAGGCCUUCUAUGCUAUUUCCUCUAUUGAUCACUCAGAUACUAACAUGUGGCCCACUCUCUCAUUCGUUCAGGUCUUUGCUCAAGUGUCAGUGUCUCCAUGGAGGUUCCCUGAACACCAGAUUUAAAGUUGCAAACCCCCACUCUCAGCACUGUUUCCAGCCCGUUAAUUUUCUCUAUAACACUUACCGCCCUCUGACACACUCUAUAGCUUAACUAUUGUUUACAGUGUGCCUUCCCCCACUAAGAUAAGGGGAAUUUUUGUCUAUUUUGAUCAUUGUUGUAUUCCCAGCACCAGGACUUAAUAUAUAUUUGUUAAAUAAAUGCAUGAUAAAUUUUCAAACUCUAAAUUUUCUCAGAGCCCCCAAAAAGUAUCAAAAUUCUUUUUUUAUAAUAAUCCAGAAUAAAACCGAUACCAAAAAGAAACAAAAAAUAAAUUUAAAAGAAACUAAUGCCAAACUACCAAACUAAUAUUGACAAGAUUGAAAUAAAGCUGUCCCUCUCCUCGGACUAUACCCAAAGGACUUGAAAACAGCAUACUACAGGGACACAGCCACAUCAAUGUUUAUAGCAGCAUAAUUCACGAUAGCUGUGGAACCAACAUAGUUGCCCUUCAAUAGAUGAAUGGAUAAAAAAAAGUGGUAUAUACACACAAUGGAAUAUUACUCAGCAUAAAAGAAAAUAAAAUCAUGGCAUUUGCAGGUAAAUGAUGGAGUUGGAGAAGAUAAUGCUAAGUGAGGUUAGCCAAUCCCAAAAAAACAAAUGCCUAAUGUUUUCUUUGUUAUAAGGAGGCUGAUUCAUAGUGGGAUAGGGAGUGGGAGCAUGGGAGAAAUAGAUGAACUCUAGAUAGGGCAGAGGGGUUAGAGAGGAAGGGAGGGGACAUGGGGUAAUUAAUGAUGUAGAAUGUGAUGAUCAUUAUUAUCCAAAGUACAGGUAUAAAGACACGAAUUGAUGUGAAUAUACUAUGUAUACAACCAGAUAUAUGAAAAAUUGUGCUCUAUAUAUGUAAUAAUAAUUGUAAUACAUUUUGCUGUCAUAUAUAAAUAAAAAAAUUAAAUUAAAAAGAAGAAAACUAUAAACCA